This 490-nucleotide ribosomal RNA is filed under the name uncultured bacterium. RNAcentral describes it as "bacterial SSU rRNA". It matches the Rfam family "Bacterial small subunit ribosomal RNA", at positions 28 to 502 of the family's 1533-position model. The record is from RNAcentral.
GAUGAACGCUAGCGGCAGGCUUAAUACAUGCAAGUUGAGGGGCAGCAUGAUAUACGCGAGUAUAUUGAUGGCGACCGGCGGACGGGUGAGUAAUAGGUAGGAGACCUACCUCAUACAGGGGGAUAGCAUAGAGAAAUCUGUGGUAAUACCCCAUGAGGUUAUAUGAAUAGAGGCAUAUAAUCAAAGCAUAAGCGAUUAUGCGGUAUGAGAGGGGCCUACUGACCAUUAGCUAGUUGGUGAGGUAAGGGCUCACCAAGGCGAAGAUGGUUAGGGGUUUUGAGAGAGAGACCCCCCACAUUGGAACUGAGAGACGGUCCAGACUCCUACGGGAGGCAGCAGUAGGGAAUAUUGGGCAAUGGGCGAAAGCCUGACCCAGCCAUGCCGCGUGAAGGAAGACGGCCUUAUGGGUUGUAAACUUCUUUACUACGCGAAUAGAGGUUAGUACGAGAUACUAAUAGGAAGGUAGUGUAGUAAAAAGCACCGGCUAACU